This is a long non-coding RNA of Xiphophorus couchianus (Monterrey platyfish), 1129 nucleotides long. RefSeq lists it as uncharacterized. NCBI's taxonomy places the organism in Eukaryota, Metazoa, Chordata, Actinopteri, Cyprinodontiformes, Poeciliidae. The record is from RefSeq and is a predicted model, not a curated record. The transcript has 2 exons.
UAUUUAUCUCCAUACCUUGGCCAACUCUAUUGAUCCUUGUUGCACUUCAGAAAAAGAAAGUAGUACACUAUAUGUAAGCUAAAUGGAUUUAUUAAUAACAGAAAACUGUGCAGCAUGAUGAUAAGCAAAAAAAAAAAAGGUAUGUGAAUGUAUUACAUAUGAACAUAGAACAGGUUAAAAGGAGGUUAUAAUUAUCUCAACAGAAAAUAAACAAACUAUGUUAGAAGAUUUUGGUUUGCUGUUAUAACCCCUCUAUUUUUCUGUACUAAGCAGCUUUCUGUUUUUCAUGAAAGUUGCUUAAGAAUGGAAUGAAAAAAAUUGUGGAACAGACAGCAACUAUACCAAGCAUGCUACAUGUGUAUAGCAUCUGAACUCAGACAAGCACAGGAAUUAUUCAAGAAUAUCUUUUUCAAAAUGAGAAAUAUAAGAUUGCAUGAUUAUUUUUAAUUCCGAGUGUUCUAUCACCAACUGUAAUACGAGAAAAGGAAAGAAAGUUAAAAUACAUAAUAGUAUAUACAAUACCUCCAACAUCUCUGCUACUGAAUGUCUUCAAGAGAACUUUUUAAAAAUGAUCAUAAUUAAUCGCUUAAUAGCAAAUAAAAGUAGGCUUCUCACCUCAUUUCAAAAAUAUUCAACAGAGUUGAGGGCAUUUCAGAAGCUUAACGUUAGCCUGCUAUAGCUGUUCCAAACAGUUUGUUGUCAAUCUUUCUUCUGCUGCAUGUGUAAAGUGUUGUCUUUGUCAAUCAGAAAAUAUCCACAAUAAAUUGACACUUGUGCACACAAUAAUUAUUUUUUAAGUUUACCAUUUUUGCCAUGUGAUCAGUCCACCCUGCAAAAGGAACUGCUCAAACAGAUCAUAAAAACUCUAAAUGUAUUUGACUUUAAAGCCGAUGAGAGUAAACCUUUGACCGGUACAGAACAUACACUGCUCAACCAGUAUAUGGUGCAGGGUUAAAGUAUAAGGACAGUUUUUUUUGUUGCUCAUUAAUGUUCCUCAUGUUUCUGUACUUCAGAGAGAAAAAUUAUGUGGCGAGAAAGAUUGAGUUGAAGUUAUUCAAACUAGGUUUUUGAAAGUUUCCAGUACCAAUUCCAGGCUUCAUCUGCUAAUGUUAAAAUUUUAAUUUUAUGU